Molecule: transfer RNA, 82 nt
Filed under: Marseillevirus LCMAC201
Lineage: Varidnaviria; Bamfordvirae; Nucleocytoviricota; Megaviricetes; Pimascovirales; Marseilleviridae
Description: tRNA-Ser
Rfam family: tRNA
About the family: Transfer RNA (tRNA) molecules are approximately 80 nucleotides in length. Their secondary structure includes four short double-helical elements and three loops (D, anti-codon, and T loops). Further hydrogen bonds mediate the characteristic L-shaped molecular structure. tRNAs have two regions of fundamental functional importance: the anti-codon, which is responsible for specific mRNA codon recognition, and the 3' end, to which the tRNAs corresponding amino acid is attached (by aminoacyl-tRNA synthetases). tRNAs cope with the degeneracy of the genetic code in two manners: having more than one tRNA (with a specific anti-codon) for a particular amino acid; and 'wobble' base-pairing, i.e. permitting non-standard base-pairing at the 3rd anti-codon position.
Source: RNAcentral
GAUGGUGUGGUGGAAUUAGUAUACACGCCAGGUUGCUAACCUGGUCCCUUCGGGGGUGCAGGUGCAAGUCCUGUCACCAUCU